GAUAAUACUCCGUAGCUAUAGGUAGUGGAAUGUUCUUUAACAGAAAGUUCCGACGCUUUAGGAUGGAUCUGCGGCAUGAUUAGGUUGUUGUUGGGGUAGUGGCCCAACAAGCCUGUAAUCGGUACGGGUUGUGGGAGCAAGAGCCCGGAGAUGGAAUAUGAGACACGAUUACAGUCCCUACGGGGCGCAGCAGGCGCGAAAACUUUACAAUGCAGGAAACUGUGAUAAGGGAACCCCGAGUGCCCGUAUAUGCGGGCUGUCCGGAUGUUUAAAACGCAUCCGAAGAAAGGGCCGGGCAAGACCGGUGCCAGCCGCCGCGGUAAUACCGGCGGCUCGAGUGGUGGCCACUUUUAUUGGGCUUAAAGCGUUCGUAGCUUGAAUAAUAAGUCUCUUGGGAAAUCUGCAGGCUUAACCUGCAGGCGUUUAAGAGAAACUGUUGUUCUAGGAACCGGAAGAGGUGAGAGGUACUCCGGGGGUAGGAGUGAAAUCCUGUAAUCCCCGGGGGACCACCGAUGGCGAAGGCAUCUCACCAGGACGGCUUCGACAGUGAGGAACGAAAGCUGGGGGAGCGAACCGGAUUAGAUACCCGGGUAGUCCCAGCCGUAAACGAUGUGCGUUAGGUGUGCCGGUGACCACGAGUCACUGGGGUGCCGAAGGGAAACCGUGAAACGUACCGCCUGGGAAGUACGGUCGCAAGGCUGAAACUUAAAGGAAUUGGCGGGGGAGCACAAGGG
RNAcentral lists this ribosomal RNA (734 nucleotides) under uncultured archaeon. Its description in RNAcentral is "bacterial SSU rRNA". It matches the Rfam family "Archaeal small subunit ribosomal RNA", at positions 145 to 887 of the family's 1478-position model. The record is from RNAcentral.